AGGAAAAGACCUUCAGCAACAUGCCUGGCUUUGUGAGGUCUCUAGUGGCUAUGGAUGGAUUGCAUUGCAGAGGUGGGUAUGUGCAGCAGAGUACUGAUGUCCAAGGAGCCCAACUACAUGGAAUCCCCUGAAGCUGAAGUUGACAGAUGGUUUUGAGCUGCCUGUCAUGGGUUCUGAAAACUAGACCCUGGUCCUCGGGAAGAGCAUCAAGUGCUCUGAACAUGCCAGCCAUCUGUCCAGCAUCUUCCGUCUUGUAAAUGGAGGCCGGAUGAUGUGUCAUUCUGGCUUGAAAUCAAACUUUACAUCCCUGAAGUUAAAGGUGAAGAAGAAACGGAAGACAUACUUUGGAUGUCAAUGGUCUUCUGUAAAGAAGCGGCUGCAUUCGUAUUCACGGACUGGUGGAGAGCAUCUUCCUCAAGAGGACCAGGCUGCAAGAACAGGAGAGACCAUGGCAGAAAGUGAGAUCUUCAUAGUAAGUAGCACAGAAACCAAGCAAGUGAAAAACCCCAUCCUCUGCGGUGCGGCCUGCUCCAAGAGCUGAUUAGCAUUUUGCUGACAUCAGGUCCCCAGGUGGGUGUAGUUGGUUAUAUUUUAUGUCUUGUAUCCAUAUAAUUAAAUUCCAAGGAGUUUUCCUAUUGGUCUCAAGAUUAAUGUAUAGAAGCCCUGAAGCAGGUGCACAUCUGUGUAUUAGUCAUUUAAACUCUAAGUUAUUUGUAUAAUUUUCUAGGCUCCUCACAAACCAAAUUCCUUCAUGAUGGUAUCAGCAGCUGAGGCCAUGAACAAACUCUCAGGGAAGUUGUGUCAGAUAGAGUGGACAGCCUAUUAUCUGUAUUUCAGCAGUGCUUUUACAUUUAAUUGUCUUAAACGUUAAGUACUUCCUAGUUGAAAGCCAUGAGACCUUUGUUCCUUGAACAAAGAAGAAGCAAAAACUAUAUUAAAGAAGCCAGAGGAAAGAACAGCACAGCUCCAUGUAACUUUGACUUUAUUCAAAAAACACACUCAUGUCAGCCUCAUGCAUUGGACAAAUUCCUUCUGUGCAAAUCUAUCAUGAUCUUAUGGAA
Long non-coding RNA from Mus musculus (house mouse), 1061 nucleotides. RefSeq annotates it as predicted gene, 40384. The transcript has 3 exons. The record is from RefSeq and is a predicted model, not a curated record. Lineage: Eukaryota; Metazoa; Chordata; Mammalia; Rodentia; Muridae.